CCCUAUGGGGUGCAGCAGGAUUGUCAACGCCCUUUACCGGGAAACUAAAAUGCUCGACAGACCCCAAUGGAUAGCCAUAACUGCCGAUUAUUCGACGGAUACCAUCGUCCAGUCGCUGGACCGACGCGCUGUCAAAUGGAAUAAGCCGAUGCAAAUAGCUGAUAACCUUGGACAAGGUUUCGUUAAAGUCGAGACUCUGAUUUAUACUGAUGAGAAGCUCUUUGAGCGAUUCAAUCUCCACCAGGCGCUCUCGAAUUUCGUCUCGGGCGGCUAUGAGCUCAGUGAUAUUUGUGUCGUGGAUGGAGAUGACCUGAGGCUGUUUUUGUUCGUCACGUUCGAUGACUUGGAUGGUUAGUUCCAGCCAAGCAAUAGUGUCGCUUGGAGUGACGACGCGGAACUCGCCCUGUGCCUUGUCGGUCUCCCCGGACUUGAGC
RNAcentral lists this ribosomal RNA (434 nucleotides) under uncultured prokaryote. RNAcentral's name for it is "partial 16S ribosomal RNA". The record is from RNAcentral.